UACGGGGGGGUAAGCGUUGUUCGGAAUUACUGGGCGUAAAGGGCUCGUAGGCGGCCAACUAAGUCAUACGUGAAAUCCCCAGGCUCAACCUGGGAACUGCAUCCGAUACUGGAUGGCUUGAAUUCGGGAGAGGGAUGCAGAAUUCCAGGUGUAGCGGUGAAAUGCGUAGAUAUCUGGAGGAAUACCGGUGGCGAAGGCGGCAUCCUGGACCGACAUUGACGCUGAGGAGCGAAGCCAGGGGAGCAAACGGG
This 251-nucleotide ribosomal RNA is filed under the name uncultured bacterium. RNAcentral's name for it is "partial 16S ribosomal RNA". It matches the Rfam family "Bacterial small subunit ribosomal RNA", at positions 524 to 776 of the family's 1533-position model. The record is from RNAcentral.